AACGCACAUUGCGCCCUUUGGUAUUCCGAGGGGCAUGCCUGUUCGAGCGUCAUUUCAACUCUCAAGCUUAUGCUUGGUAUUGGGUGUCGUCCUGCCUAUACAUUAGGCGGGACUCGCCUGAAACUCAUGGGCGGUAGUUCAUUACACCGAGCGUAGUCAAAUCUUUACCUCGCUCUUGGACGUUUUGUUAACUGACCUGCCUAAUAACCCCCCCUAAAUAUUCAAAGUUUGACCUCGGAUCAGGUAGGGAUACCCGCUGAACUUAA
Molecule: unclassified non-coding RNA, 266 nt
Filed under: uncultured Dothideomycetes
Lineage: Eukaryota; Fungi; Ascomycota; Dothideomycetes
Description: sequence contains 5.8S rRNA gene, ITS2, 28S rRNA gene
Source: RNAcentral